ACGGGUGCGUAACGCGUGGGAAUCUGCCCUUGGGUUCGGAAUAACAUCGGGAAACUGAUGCUAAUACCGGAUGAUGACGAAAGUCCAAAGAUUUAUCGCCCAGGGAUGAGCCCGCGUAGGAUUAGCUAGUUGGUGAGGUAAAGGCUCACCAAGGCUACGAUCCUUAGCUGGUCUGAGAGGAUGAUCAGCCACACUGGGACUGAGACACGGCCCAGACUCCUACGGGAGGCAGCAGUAGGGAAUAUUGGACAAUGGGGGCAACCCUGAUCCAGCAAUGCCGCGUGAGUGAUGAAGGCCUUAGGGUUGUAAAGCUCUUUUACCCGGGAUGAUAAUGACAGUACCGGGAGAAUAAGCCCCGGCUAACUCCGUGCCAGCAGCCGCGGUAAUACGGAGGGGGCUAGCGUUGUUCGGAAUUACUGGGCGUAAAGCGCACGUAGGCGGCGAUUUAAGUCAGAGGUGAAAGCCCGGGGCUCAACCCCGGAAUAGCCUUUGAGACUGGAUUGCUUGAAUCUUGGAGAGGCGGGUGGAAUUCCGAGUGUAGAGGUGAAAUUCGUAGA
This 557-nucleotide ribosomal RNA is filed under the name Sphingobium sp. StTD618. RNAcentral's name for it is "bacterial SSU rRNA". It matches the Rfam family "Bacterial small subunit ribosomal RNA", at positions 102 to 694 of the family's 1533-position model. Lineage: Bacteria; Pseudomonadati; Pseudomonadota; Alphaproteobacteria; Sphingomonadales; Sphingobiaceae. The record is from RNAcentral.